This is a long non-coding RNA of Vicia villosa (hairy vetch), 1326 nucleotides long. RefSeq lists it as uncharacterized. The record is from RefSeq and is a predicted model, not a curated record. The transcript has 4 exons. NCBI's taxonomy places the organism in Eukaryota, Viridiplantae, Streptophyta, Magnoliopsida, Fabales, Fabaceae.
UCAAUUGCAUGAACUUUCUCUUCGAAACCCGUCUCAUUGCCUGAAAGAGUGCAAACACGUCGGAGAAUUGGGAGAGACUGAGAAGCGAGAGAUCUAACCAUUUUCUAAACUCCUUUCUCGCAUUUCCAUUGCGUAUUUCAGAUUUUUCGAUUCACCUAAUGACUCCGUCAUCAGAAACGUCCAUUCGUAAAAACACGAUUCCUUCAUUUCUCUACGGUUCUUCACCUAAAACCCUAUCGAUUUUUCACCAGAUCAUUAACUCCGGCCCCGCUCCUUCUGCCGCUGCGACGUCUUCAUUGAUCAGAACAAGAUAGAUCGAUUGGGCUUUGAAGCUUCUCCUAAGGAAUCCAGUAAGAUCGAGAUGUACUUUGGAUUUGACACAACUCAUGUUGCUGCUAGAGCACGGGCUUUGAAGCUUUGAUCUUUAGAAUAUUCAUUCACUGUUUGAUGAAUUGAUUCAAAGAGCUUAUGAUUGUGUUUUGUCUCCGAGUGGGACUUCUACUGCCGCUUUAAUUCAAGGAAAGUUCCUAAUGGUUCCGAUUCGACGGUUUUGACGAACUACUCAAAGAAUUUGAGUUCUGGUUCUGGUUCUCGAGGUGGUUUUGAGAAGCCGGAUUCCUUCAAUUACUGCUUCUUCUACCUUUGUUCAUGUGGAGAGAACAGUUUAUGCAAAGGCUUCUGAGUUGUUCACAAGAGAUGAUAGUUAUGUGAGCAAGUCCAAGUCUACAUUUUAUACAACGGUCCAGUGCAGAGAAUUGAAUCCAUCAUUCAUGAGUAGAGGUUGGAAACUGCCUGGUUGCAAGUCGUAGAAAAAGGUUCCCUUUGUUCAUUGAGUCGCUUGAGACCUAAGAAGAAUCAAGUCCUGCCUCAGGAUGGUGCUUAUUGUGUAAGCUCAAUGGAGACCAUGGAUUCAUUAAGAUUUUCCUCUCAACAGGAUAGAGAAGAUGGCGCAAAUAGCGAUCUUAAAAUUUUGGGCCUUAAAAAUAGAAGGGUCCUACCGAAGGAUCAGAUUGGUAAAAGAUUUGCAGGUUAUCAAUUUGACUAUGUGUUUGAUUGGACUAUAUUGAAGUAUCAACAAGUCAGAUCCAGCUCUAGAACACGGCAGGUUCGACUAUCCUUCCAGCAAAUGCAGCAUCGAUCAGUCCAUUCGGCUUUGGCGUUCAAGUAUCUCAGUUCCAGCUAUUCAAAGCCCGAGUUCUUGGAUUUCUUGCAGGUACAUUACUUCAGUCUCAAAACCAAGUAUGUAUGUUAUCUGAUCAAUUUAUGCCUAAUGAAAAUCAUCACAAUAAUGUUUCAAGCAAGAAAUUUCAUAAAUAUGUCCCGGCC